This 253-nucleotide ribosomal RNA is filed under the name uncultured bacterium. Its description in RNAcentral is "partial 16S ribosomal RNA". It matches the Rfam family "Bacterial small subunit ribosomal RNA", at positions 524 to 776 of the family's 1533-position model. The record is from RNAcentral.
UACAGAGGUCUCAAGCGUUAAUCGGAAUCACUGGGCUUAAAGGGUGCGUAGGCGGGCCUGCAAGUGCCUUGUGAAAUCCCCCGGCUUAACCGGGGAAUUGCUUGGUAGACUGCAGGUCUUGAGGUCGGUAGAGGGCGCUGGAACUCUAGGUGGAGCGGUGAAAUGCGUAGAUAUCUAGAGGAACACCAAAGGUGAAGACAGGCGCCUGGGCCGAAUCUGACGCUGAGGCACGAAAGCGUGGGGAGCGAACGGG